RNAcentral lists this long non-coding RNA (278 nucleotides) under Prunus persica (peach). RNAcentral describes it as "long non-coding RNA (PPER_LNC005670)". The record is from RNAcentral. Lineage: Eukaryota; Viridiplantae; Streptophyta; Magnoliopsida; Rosales; Rosaceae.
GAAUCAAUCAUGUUCAUUCAAAACUCAUAAAUGGGGAGGAAACAAACAGAGAAUACAAAGGCCGAAAAUGCCAGUUAAAGGAAUGAAAUGCCACAAACAGAGAAGAUUAAACUAAAACCAGUACAGUCUAGUAUAAUAGUCUUCCCCAUCACAAAAUCAAACCAAAAUACAAUACAAAGCCACUGUCUUCUGCAAAAGGGACGAAGACCGUACCAUAAUGGCCAUAAAAGAAGGGAUACACCACCACCACCACACAAGUCGGCAUUGCUACACAUAGA